RNAcentral lists this ribosomal RNA (450 nucleotides) under uncultured bacterium. RNAcentral describes it as "bacterial SSU rRNA". It matches the Rfam family "Bacterial small subunit ribosomal RNA", at positions 354 to 796 of the family's 1533-position model. The record is from RNAcentral.
GUGGGGAAUAUUGGACAAUGGGCGAAAGCCUGAUCCAGCAAUGCCGCGUGUGUGAAGAAGGCCUGCGGGUUGUAAAGCACUUUCAGCAGGGAAGAAAAGCCUAGGGUUAAUACCCCUGAGUCUUGACGUUACCUGCAGAAGAAGCACCGGCUAACUCCGUGCCAGCAGCCGCGGUAAUACGGAGGGUGCAAGCGUUAAUCGGAAUUACUGGGCGUAAAGCGCGCGUAGGCGGCGGUAUCAGUCAGGCGUGAAAGCCCCGGGCUCAACCUGGGAGGUGCGUUUGAUACUGUACUGCUGGAGUCCGGGAGGGGAUGGCGGAAUUCCCAGUGUAGAGGUGAAAUUCGUAGAUAUUGGGAAGAACACCGGUGGCGAAGGCGGCCAUCUGGACCGGCACUGACGCUGAGGCGCGAAAGCGUGGGGAGCAAACAGGAUUAGAAACCCGAGUAGUCC